GGGGAAUAUUGGGCAAUGGGCGCAAGCCUGACCCAGCAACGCCGCGUGAAGGAAGAAGGCUCUCGGGUUGUAAACUUCUUUUAUCAGGGACGAAACAAAUGACGGUACCUGAUGAAUAAGCCACGGCUAACUACGUGCCAGCAGCCGCGGUAAUACGUAGGUGGCAAGCGUUAUCCGGAUUUACUGGGUGUAAAGGGCGUGUAGGCGGGAAAGCAAGUCAGAUGUGAAAACUAUGGGCUCAACCCAUAGCCUGCAUUUGAAACUGUUUUUCUUGAGUGUCGGAGAGGCAAUCGGAAUUCCGUGUGUAGCGGUGAAAUGCGUAGAUAUACGGAGGAACACCAGUGGCGAAGGCGGAUUGCUGGACGAUAACUGACGCUGAGGCGCGAAAGCGUGGGGAGCAAAC
This 403-nucleotide ribosomal RNA is filed under the name uncultured bacterium. RNAcentral's name for it is "bacterial SSU rRNA". It matches the Rfam family "Bacterial small subunit ribosomal RNA", at positions 356 to 773 of the family's 1533-position model. The record is from RNAcentral.